AGUGAACGCUGGCGGUAGGCCUAACACAUGCAAGUCGAACGGCAGCACAGUAAGAGCUUGCUCUUACGGGUGGCGAGUGGCGGACGGGUGAGGAAUACAUCGGAAUCUACUUUUUCGUGGGGGAUAACGUAGGGAAACUUACGCUAAUACCGCAUACGACCUACGGGUGAAAGCAGGGGAUCUUCGGACCUUGCGCGAUUGAAUGAGCCGAUGUCGGAUUAGCUAGUUGGCGGGGUAAAGGCCCACCAAGGCGACGAUCCGUAGCUGGUCUGAGAGGAUGAAUCCCCGCCUGAGAACUGGAGCCGCGACCCGGCGUCCGAGGGGGGGCCCAGGUGGGAAUUGGUGGCAAAGGGGGGGAAGCUUGCACCACCCGCGGCGGGGGGAUGAAGAAGCCCUUCGGUUGGUAAGCCCUUUUUGUGGGGAAAAAAAGGCUGCGGCUUUAACCCCCCCUGUUUGACGGUAACCAAAAAAGAAGCCCCGGCUAACUUCGGU
Molecule: ribosomal RNA, 492 nt
Filed under: uncultured bacterium
Lineage: Bacteria
Description: partial 16S ribosomal RNA
Rfam family: Bacterial small subunit ribosomal RNA
Source: RNAcentral